UACGGAGACUGCAAGCGUUACUCGGAUUCACUGGGUUUAAAGGGUGCGUAGGUGGUUUAAUAAGUUAGUGGUAAAACGGAGAGGCUCAACCUCUUCUCGCCAUUAAAACUGUAAGACUAGAGAUUGGAUGCUGUAGGCGGAAUGUGUAGUGUAGCGGUGAAAUGCUUAGAUAUUACACAGAACACCGAUUGCGAAGGCAGCUUACAAAUCCAUAUCUGACACUGAUGCACGAAAGCGUGGGUAGCGAACGGG
Molecule: ribosomal RNA, 252 nt
Filed under: uncultured bacterium
Lineage: Bacteria
Description: partial 16S ribosomal RNA
Rfam family: Bacterial small subunit ribosomal RNA
Source: RNAcentral